GUUCGGACUGCGGUCUGCAACUCGACUGCACGAAGCUGGAAUCGCUAGUAAUCGCGGAUCAGCACGCCGCGGUGAAUACGUUCCCGGGCCUUGUACACACCGCCCGUCACACCAUGGAAGUCUGCAAUGCCCGAAGCCGGUGGCCUAACCACUUAUGUGGAAGGAGCCGUCUAAGGCAGGGCAGAUGACUGGGGUGAAGUCGUAACAAGGUAGC
This 214-nucleotide ribosomal RNA is filed under the name uncultured bacterium. Its description in RNAcentral is "partial 16S ribosomal RNA". It matches the Rfam family "Bacterial small subunit ribosomal RNA", at positions 1291 to 1500 of the family's 1533-position model. The record is from RNAcentral.